RNAcentral lists this signal recognition particle RNA (298 nucleotides) under Periophthalmus magnuspinnatus. Its description in RNAcentral is "Metazoan signal recognition particle RNA (ENSPMGG00000009260.1)". It matches the Rfam family "Metazoan signal recognition particle RNA". From Rfam's summary of the family: The signal recognition particle (SRP) is a universally conserved ribonucleoprotein. It is involved in the co-translational targeting of proteins to membranes. Lineage: Eukaryota; Metazoa; Chordata; Actinopteri; Gobiiformes; Gobiidae. The record is from RNAcentral.
GCUGGGUGCGGUGGCACGCGCCUGUAAUCCAAGCUACCGGGAGGCUGAGGCUGGAGGAUCGUUUGAGCUCAGGAGCUCUGAGCUGCAGCGGACUAUGUCGAUCGGGUGUCCGCACUAAGUUCGGUAUCGAUAUGGUGCUCCUGGGGGAGCCCGGGACCACCAGGUCGUCUAAGGAGGGGUGCACCGGCCCAGGUCGGAAACGGAGCAGGUCAAAGCCCCCGUGCCGCUCAGUAGUGGGAUCGCGCCUGUGAAUAGACGCUGUAGUGCAGCCUGAGUAAUACAGCGGGACUCAGUCUUU